GAUUAGCCUUUGCUUAUGCAAAGAGGAAUCUACAAAGGUAUAUAUUUCUCAACUCACUUUGGUUUGAGUUGAGUCUUGGUUCACCAAUCUACUAGGCUUUGAAUUUCAUGGUUAAUGUUUUGUUGUUGAAUGCAUGCAAGCAUGAUUCCGCCUUUUAAUUGUUAAAUGCAUGCUAUAGAUGUUAUUCAAAUGAACAUGUUUUAACAAAAUCAUCCUUCAAUAAACUUGAAUAUGAUUGGUUUAUAGUUGUCUAAAGAAUAAUAGUACUUCACUAUUAUUAAGAGUUUGUAAUUUUAAUUGUUAAAAGACUCAAGCUCUUCAAAACGUUAAAAUUCUAUGUUGUGUAACAUUCUAAAGAAUAGUCUAUGAAUGUUGGUUUCGUCAACCUAGCAUAAAAUGGUUAUACGUUGGGAGUUGUCCACCAUUUUCUUUUAUGAGAACAAGCUAAUAACAAAGCAUAUGGACAAAAAGGGAAUAGUUUCAAAAUGAGUCACAACAUAUGGUUUAACAACAAGACAAUCCAAAUUCGGCACCUCUUGUAACUAUAACGCUCUAUGUAGUUUCGAUAAAGAAUUAUAUCAACCACCUAGAAGGAAUGGUUGAGUUUCUAUAUCCUUAGUAGGAGCCAUGCUUCCACUAAAGACUUGGAUAAUUCUUAUAUGACUACAUUAAAGGUCUUAGUAUGACUAAAACUUGAAGUAUGGUGUAUGACACCAUAUAAUUUAAAUGAAUAGACUUGAUAAAACAAGUCACACAUAUCAAAUGGAAUUACUUGAGAAGGAAUUCUUUUGUGUAUGUUCGUUUAAAUAACUUGUGUUAGCUAGAGUUGUUGAUAGUCCCAAAAGUGUUGAGACAUCAUCAAAUAAGCUAAUGGAUCUCAAUGAUUGUCAAUAGAUCCAAGACAAGUUAGUGGGAGCAAUAUGCAUUCAAAUCAAGAAAAUGUAAGUGUUAAUUUUUGAAUGAAUGCUAAGUUACAACAAGGCCAGUGGGAGUGAUGUCAUAAUUUGAGCAACAAGAUAUGAAUAAAGUCUAUUUGAUAGACUUGAUAAAACAUAGAUGUUACUCAAAAUGACAAAAUUGUGAGACGGUCAAUUUUGAAGUAUAGACUUGAAAUUGGACUUAAUGAUAUAGCAAGGCUAUCUCAAGAACGUUCAAUGGGGAAAUUAAAUCUCAAAUGUUGAAGAUUUGAGAAGGUGUUUUCCUAUAUGAUAGAAAAUCACUUUCAUAACCCUUAUUAUGAAUGUGUCACAAAAUCACAAAAGGGACACAUGUAUGGACUUGUGAGAUGAUAUCCAAAGGUGAAAAACCAUUGGGGUUGUCACUUUAAGAUAUUACUAUAGCCCAGGAUUAGAACCGUAGCAACUGAUAGAGUAUUAUUGCCUUUAAGAAAGGAACAUCAAAGUCGGACUCUAAAAGCGUGCAUUCACUUAGGUUAUAAACCAAAGUGAAAAUAACCCAUUUUAACAAAUGGAACUUCAUAAUGGAUGAAGUACUAAUCAUAUGAAUGUAUUGUUAGUAUUGUACUACAAUGGUCUCAAGGUUGGAGCAAAGUAUGUAUAAAGUAUACAAACGAAAUAUAUGGCGAUAUAUUGUUUUAGAAACUGCUUCAAAAGGUGUUUUGAAUAGAAGGGGUUCUUAUAGAACCAAUGAUUGAAUCCAAACCAUAAGGUCGUUAGUUGGACACUACGACAUAAUGGGGCGAUAGCUCAAGCCAUGGAAUCAAGGUCUCAUUAAAGUAUUUGAACACAAGAAAGAGACAUCAUCAAAUGUUUUAGAAACAUUUGAUAAGUAAUUUCCUUUUUAAAUUAAAAGGAUUAAUACAUAACCAAGUUUACCUAUGAGCAUGAGUUCACUCGACUAGCAUUUAUAAGAUACACUAGUGAUUGACUUUAGUGUAAGUGGUUGAUUGUUGGAAAUAUGCCCUGAAAGUCAAUCUUUGGAAGAAACCUUUCAGGACAAUGAAUGUGUGUAUAGAUGACUCUUAUACAUCAAAUGGCAAAGAUACUAAUUAGGACUAUCUCAAUAAACGAUAUAUGUCCUAAAUAGUGAAUCCAUGGACAAUGGAUCGAUGGAAGAAGUAAUCUAAUGAUGUUAGACUACAAAGACCUUCUUCACAUAACCAUCAUGUCUAAAAAGGUUCCUGGUCAUAAGAUUGUCAGAGGGAUACUGACAAUGCAAAAGACCAGUACAUACUAUGUCCCCUUCAAUUGGAAGGAUGGAAAGUCUCAUCCCAUUGGUGUAGUGACACUAAGACAGGUAUGUAGGUGCUCAUUAAGGGAAUGAGUUCACUGAACACAAUCGAACGAGAGUACUUGCAUGGAGGUCUACUCACAUGUCAAGCAAGUAACUCUAAUGGUUGGAAUAAUGUAAGUAGUCCUUUGACCUGAGGCAUCAUAGUUGUCUUGUGGUUAGGUCCUUGAUCUUUGAUUAUGUCAAAGUCACUCCAUCCGCGGGUGUCCACGGCAUAGUUGGGGUUAAGCCACUUAGCCAUGGAGGCAAGUAGAUGCACAACAAGGGAUCUCUAAUCCUCGUUAUGAGAGGAUGAAUACUCUAAGAUAUGAUUCGGGAAUCUUCGGCCGAAGUAUCGAGCGUAAUAAAGGAAAGAGUUCCUAUACGACUCAAUUGAAUCAUAUAACAUGGAAUAAUCACAUUAGGGGUUUGACUUAAUAUAUCCAUACCCUAAUAGUGUGAUUGAGAGUAUUGUUUUAGAGAAGGAUCGAAUUACAUUGUAAUUCCAACUGAAUAGGUUCUUCGAACAAAUUCUACAUUAGCUUGGGUAGCCAUGAUAUAUGGUUAGAUGUCACUCAUGGCUUGUGAGUUCUUCUAGAUGACUAAAUAAGUAGUCGUCAAAGAAGAAGGAGAAUUAAAAGUAAGUUUUAAUUCACUAAGUGAUUGGAUUAAAUAUAAUCAAUUGGAUUGGUGCCAAUCACCUCACUGCCUUGCUAAUUAGAACCUAAAAUGAUUGUACACCGAUACACUCUUGUAGUGAGACAACUAAUGGAUGAUGGAAAUAAUUAAUUGGAUUAAUUAAGUGUUGUGAUUAAUUAGAAAGUCUAAAGAAAUCAUAAAAGCGAUAAAAGAUCGUUUUGGGCUUAAAGAAAAGUUCGGGUUCAUUUGGGCCAUUAAGCCCAAACACAUUGGGCUUUUAUUUAAGCAUAGGAUGACUUGAAAUAAUAAAAGCCCAAAGCCCAAACAACACUAAAGAGGCCGGCCAAAUAAGGGAAAGGGAGAGAGAGGAAGUCAAGUUGUUGACUUGUUUCUUUCUGUUAUAAAAGGAACUUUAUAGUGAAAAGUUCAUUAGGGUUUUUUGUGUAGUGUUUUCACAAAAGAGAAAAACAUCUCUCUCUCUCUAAAUUCACUCUAAAAGGCCGGCUAACAUAAGGGAGAUUUUAGCUAAUCAUCUUCUCUCCCUUUUUGGUUAUUCCUCCAUUCAUCUCACUACACUAGUGGGUGUGGAUCUUUAGAGGUCUUCAACCUUGGAGAGUAAAGGAGAACCAAGGAGCACUCAUUCUAGCAAAGUGGAGGAGGCAAGGAGGGAGGCUAGGCUCAAGGAGUUCCAACAACAAAGGGCUUGGAGGUGGUCUAUCCUUGGUCUCAAGUCUAGAUCAAGAGGUAUAAAUCUACUCCUACACUUUGUUCUUCAAGAAAAUGUUUUGAUGCAUCUUAUAUAAACCUAUGCUUCUUGAAGGGGGUUUGCAUGACUAUAGCUUUGAUAUUAUAUGAUAACAUGCUUCCGUUGCGUAUGUAUAUGAAUUUUGAAUUGUAUAUGCAUGCUAGUCACUAGAAAUCCCACAUAAAUCUCAUUAUUUCCCUUCAUUCACCACCUUGUUGUAGCACAAGUGUCUAGGAUGUGUAUGGAUAUAUGGAUGGAAUGGAUUUGCACAGCUAAGAGAUGAAAAUGUAUGGAUUAGUGAGAUGUAGUAUGGCUAGAUGAAUGGAUAAUGGUCACGGCAAGGAAAUUGUGUUUGUAAAUGAAGUUGUGAGAUGUGAAAUGUAGUGUCUUUGGAUGAUGGCCCCCAAAUUAUGGUGAAGAGUGGAUGUAUUU
Molecule: long non-coding RNA, 4045 nt
Filed under: Malus domestica (apple)
Lineage: Eukaryota; Viridiplantae; Streptophyta; Magnoliopsida; Rosales; Rosaceae
Description: long non-coding RNA (MDOM_LNC017952)
Source: RNAcentral